AUUGAACGCUGGCGGCAUGCCUUACACAUGCAAGUCGAACGGUAACAGGUCUUCGGAUGCUGACGAGUGGCGAACGGGUGAGUAAUACAUCGGAACGUGCCCGAUCGUGGGGGAUAACGAAGCGAAAGCUUUGCUAAUACCGCAUACGAUCUACGGAUGAAAGCAGGGGACCGCAAGGCCUUGCGCGAACGGAGCGGCCGAUGGCAGAUUAGGUAGUUGGUGGGAUAAAAGCUUACCAAGCCGACGAUCUGUAGCUGGUCUGAGAGGACGACCAGCGACACUGGGACUGGGACACGGCCCAGACGCCUACGGGAGGCAGCAGUGGGGAAUUUUGGACAAUGGGCGAAAGCCUGAUCCAGCCAUGCCGCGUGCAGGAUGAAGGCCUUCGGGUUGUAAACUGCUUUUGUACGGAACGAAAAGACUCUGGUUAAUACCUGGGGUCCAUGACGGUACCGUAAGAAUAAGCACCGGCUAACUACGUGCCAGCCGCCGCAGUAA
This 498-nucleotide ribosomal RNA is filed under the name uncultured bacterium. RNAcentral describes it as "partial 16S ribosomal RNA". It matches the Rfam family "Bacterial small subunit ribosomal RNA", at positions 30 to 523 of the family's 1533-position model. The record is from RNAcentral.